GAUGAAGAACGUAGCGAAAUGCGAUAAGUAAUGUGAAUUGCAGAAUUCCGUGAAUCAUCGAAUCUUUGAACGCACAUUGCGCCCGCCAGCAUUCUGGCGGGCAUGCCUGUUCGAGCGUCAUUUCAACCCUCGAGCCCCCCCGGGGGCCCCGGUGUUGGGGGACGGCACACCAGCCGCCCCCGAAAUGCAGUGGCGACCCCGCCGCAGCCUCCCCUGCGUAGUAGCACACACCUCGCACCGGAGCGCGGAGGCGGUCACGCCGUAAAACGCCCAACUUUCUUAGAGUUGACCUCGGAUCAGGUAGGAAUACCCGCUGAACUUAAGCAUAUCAAUAAGCGGAGGA
This 343-nucleotide unclassified non-coding RNA is filed under the name soil metagenome. Its description in RNAcentral is "partial contains 5.8S ribosomal RNA, internal transcribed spacer 2, and large subunit ribosomal RNA". The stretch from base 1 to 120 matches the Rfam family "5.8S ribosomal RNA", at positions 35 to 154 of the family's 154-position model. The record is from RNAcentral.